RNAcentral lists this ribosomal RNA (407 nucleotides) under uncultured bacterium. RNAcentral's name for it is "partial 16S ribosomal RNA". It matches the Rfam family "Bacterial small subunit ribosomal RNA", at positions 30 to 526 of the family's 1533-position model. The record is from RNAcentral.
AUUGAACGCUGGCGGCAGGCCUAACACAUGCAAGUCGAGCGGAACGGCGGACGGGCGAGUAAUUCCUAGGAAUCUGCCUGGUAGAGGGGGUUAACGUCCGGAAACGGGCGAUAACACCUCAUACUCUCAGAUGAGCCUAGUUCGGAUGAGUUAGUUGGUGGGGUAAAGGGUUACCAAGGCGACGAUCCGUAACUGGUCUGAGAGGAGGAUCAGUCACACUGGAACUGAGACACGGUCCAGACUCCUACGUGAGGCAGCAGUGGGGAAUAUUGGACAAUGGGCGAAAGCCUGAUCCAGCCAUGCCGCGUGUGUGAAGAAGGUCUUAGGAUUGUAAAGCACUUUCAGUUGGGAGGCGUUACCAACAGAAUAAGCACCGGCUAACUUCGUGCCAGCAGCCGCGGUAAUAC